Molecule: ribosomal RNA, 253 nt
Filed under: uncultured bacterium
Lineage: Bacteria
Description: partial 16S ribosomal RNA
Rfam family: Bacterial small subunit ribosomal RNA
Source: RNAcentral
UACGUAGGGGGCUAGCGUUGUCCGGAUUUAUUGGGCGUAAAGAGCGUGUGGGCGGCCAGGUAGGUCCGCUGUGAAAACUCGAGGCUCAACCUCGAGACGUCGGCGGAAACCAUCUGGCUAGAGUCCGGAAGAGGAGAGUGGAAUUCCUGGUGUAGCGGUGAAAUGCGCAGAUAUCAGGAAGAACACCCGUGGCGAAGGCGGUUCUCUGGGACGGUACUGACGCUGAGACGCGAAAGCGUGGGGAGCGAACAGG